This 904-nucleotide long non-coding RNA is filed under the name Homo sapiens (human). RNAcentral's name for it is "novel transcript, antisense to CDC42BPA". Lineage: Eukaryota; Metazoa; Chordata; Mammalia; Primates; Hominidae. The record is from RNAcentral.
UGGUUCAUUGUGAAAUGGGAGUGGAAAGAAAAUCCACAGAGUUCAGACUGUUCUCAAACAGAUGGAUUUUAGAAGACUAAUUAGGAAAGCUAAAGACCUGAAAAUUGAUUCCCUUAAAACUAUAUGCAUCCGCAUAUCCCUUGGAAAGUCUUCACGCACCAAGGAUACAGAUACCACAGUUUGAAGACUAUUACACUAAAUUAUCUCCUGAGCUUUAGUAGAUCUUUUAAAAACUAAAAUUGCCAAUUUAUAUUUUAACAAAAAAAAUCUGAUCUUAAUUGACUCUCCGGUAUAAAUGAAUGAUAAAAACUUACAAAUGGACUGCAUUCUGGAAGUUCUGUUUCCUAAUAGGGAUCGUCUGCAGUAUGCAAGAAGGAUUGUUUUAGCUGAGACAGAGAUCAGUUUCUUAGCCUGCUUCUCUUCUAAGGUAAGCAUGCCAAGCCAGGGAUCCCAGCACAACAGCUCAGGGGGUCAGAACUGCCUCUCAGGGCCUCUGCCUCUCUGGGAUAGACCGGCUGCUACUGGUAGCCAAGACUCCAUCAGCAGUUAUGCAGUGCCUGUUCCAUAGCCCAGAUACUGCACCAAGUCAGCUGUCUCUCUCCUCACCACAUUCUCCCAAAUUCCAAUCCUUCACUUCCACAAACACCAUGGCCCAUGUGAAUGUGGAGAAUACUGAGCCAUGUGAAAAUCUAGGCCAAGCCAAACUGAGAAAGUUAGCCUAGCAAAACCCUUUAUUGCUGUGGUUUAAAGAAAGAAAAAGGCAGUCCUUUUAAUCAAUCAUUAGAACGCUUUCUCGUGAUUGGCUGCUCUGGAAAAAAGAGUUCUAAUAAUUAAAAGGAAGAGAAGCCAGGCAUGUUGGCUCACGCCUGUAAUCCCAGCACUUUGGGAGGCUGAGGCGGGUGGA